CAGCAGUCCCCAAGUCAUUGGAGAAGGGGAGGCCUUGAUGAAGAGAGAAGGAAGGUGUAGAUUGUUUUUUAUUUUUAUUUUUUGGUUCCAGGGAUUGAACUCAGGACCUUGUACUUGUGAGGCAGGUGGCAGAACCUCUGAGCUAAAUCCCCGGCCCUUAGACUAAGUUUUUGAAAAGCAUGUUCAACUGGGAAAAUGAAGAUUAAGAGAAAGAGAAAAUAAAGUAGAAAAAAAAUGCAGGGAAAACAGGAGUGAUAGAGAUGGAAAAAAGGGGCCACAGAGUAAAUCAUCCUUAUAUUGCUUAGUUCAUACUAGCAGAAUUAGUUCAUACUGACCAAAACAUGCUAAGGAAGUCUUAAUGAUGCCUUACUGUUCCUCCACUUCCUGUUUGGGGAACUCUGGUAUGCUUAGCAAAUUGUCUUGGUCACUGUUGUGAAAAGAUUUCUUUUUCUGUACAGCACGAUACCAGCUAUAACCUCCAUGAACUGGCUAUUUGAAAGAAGUCAUCCUGCAGGGAUUUCACACUUCUUCCAAGGAAAGAAGAGAAUUAACAGGAAACACAAGAUGAGAAACGAAGGCAGCAUAUUAUACCAGCUUACGUUCCAAACAAAGUUAACACCAGUGCAUCGAGGUUCCAGGUGAGGAAGUAGGCCAAGAGCGUGCAGGUGUGAGCAGUGCAACUGCAGUGGACUUAUGUCCCAGCCAGCCUCUGCCAGACGAGGGAGGAACCAGGACUGCACUCCCUACGGGAGACUGUGUCCCAGCUCUGGGCUUGCACAGUGUCAUCCUCUGAUCACUCCAGUCACUGUUUCGGGAGCAGAGAAGACUUCACUUCUGCAGUGAAGAAAUAGGAUGCUACAGACCAGCAGGACAUCAGGGUCAGAUGGGUACGAGUGGAGGUCCUGAAGUCAGAACCUGCAGUUUCUCAUCUCAACCACAGAGUGCUAACAGCAGCAGUAGAACUCACACAAGCGAUCUGAUCUCGCUAAGCCUCAGCUUAUCUGCCAGCAUUGGUUUUCAUAGUACGCACCUC
This 1033-nucleotide long non-coding RNA is filed under the name Fukomys damarensis (Damara mole-rat). Its description in RNAcentral is "lncRNA (ENSFDAG00000032478.1)". The record is from RNAcentral. Lineage: Eukaryota; Metazoa; Chordata; Mammalia; Rodentia; Bathyergidae.